UGAGCAAUCUGCCCUUCUCUUCGGAAUAAGCGUUGGAAACGACGUCUAAUGCCGAAUACGACCUCCUUUCGCAUGAUCGGAGGUGGAAAGCUCCGGUGGAGAAGGAUGAGCUCGCGGCCUAUCAGCUAGUUGGUGAGGGUAAUGGCCCACCAAGGCGACGACGGGUAGCCGGCCUGAGAGGGUGACCGGCCACACUGGGACUGAGACACGGCCCAGACUCCGUACGGGAGGNAG
This 234-nucleotide ribosomal RNA is filed under the name uncultured bacterium. RNAcentral describes it as "partial 16S ribosomal RNA". It matches the Rfam family "Bacterial small subunit ribosomal RNA", at positions 118 to 351 of the family's 1533-position model. The record is from RNAcentral.